RNAcentral lists this non-coding RNA (24 nucleotides) under Rattus norvegicus (Norway rat). The record is from RNAcentral. Lineage: Eukaryota; Metazoa; Chordata; Mammalia; Rodentia; Muridae.
UCCUCAUUGUCAGUGGUGAAGCUG